AGCUCCAAUGGCGUAUAUUAAAUUUGUUGCGGUUAAAAAGCUCGUAGUUGGAUUUCUGCCGAGGACAGCCGGUCCGCCCUCUGGGUGAGCAUCUGGUUUGGCCUGGGCAUCUUCUUGGGGGGCGUAGCUGCACUUGACUGUGUGGCGCGGUGUCCAAGACUUUUACUUUGAGGAAAUUAGAGUGUUUCAAGCAGGCGCGCGCCUUGAAUACAUUAGCAUGGAAUAAUGAGAUAGGACCUCAGUUCUAUUUUGUUGGUUUCUAGAGCAGAGGUAAUGGUUAAUAGGGAUAGUUGGGGGCAUUUGUAUUUAACUGUCAGAGGUGAAAUUCUUGGAUUUGUUAAAGAUGAACUACUGCGAAAGCAUUUGCCAGGGAUGUUUUCA
This 381-nucleotide ribosomal RNA is filed under the name uncultured eukaryote. RNAcentral's name for it is "SSU rRNA". It matches the Rfam family "Eukaryotic small subunit ribosomal RNA", at positions 587 to 972 of the family's 1831-position model. The record is from RNAcentral.